ACGGGAGGCAGCGGUGAGGAAUAUUGGUCAAUGGGCGGAAGCCUGAACCAGCCAAGUCGCGUGAAGGAUGAAGGUAUUAUGUAUUAUAAACUUCUUUAGACGUAGAGAAAUAAGCCCCUCGUGAGGGGUGAUGCUAGUAUACGUAGAAUAAGGAUCGGCUAACUCCGUGCCAGCAGCCGCGGUAAUACGGAGGAUCCGAGCGUUAUCCGGAUUUAUUGGGUUUGAAGGGUGCGCAGGCGGCCCUGUAAGUCAGCGGUAAAAGCGUGGAGCUCAACUCCAUCCCGCCGUUGAUACUGCAGGGCUUGAUUGCGGUCGAGGUUGGCGGAAUUCGCCGUGUAGCGGUGAAAUGCAUAGAUAUGGCGAAGAACUCCGAUUGCGUAGGCAGCUGACCAGGCCGUAAAUGACGCUCAUGCACGAAAGUGCGGGGAUCGAACAGGAUUAGAUACCCUGGUA
RNAcentral lists this ribosomal RNA (453 nucleotides) under uncultured Parabacteroides sp. Its description in RNAcentral is "partial 16S ribosomal RNA". It matches the Rfam family "Bacterial small subunit ribosomal RNA", at positions 341 to 792 of the family's 1533-position model. Lineage: Bacteria; Pseudomonadati; Bacteroidota; Bacteroidia; Bacteroidales; Tannerellaceae. The record is from RNAcentral.